This is a non-coding RNA of Vicugna pacos (alpaca), 534 nucleotides long. Lineage: Eukaryota; Metazoa; Chordata; Mammalia; Artiodactyla; Camelidae. The record is from RefSeq and is a predicted model, not a curated record.
CUAGUGGGAGAUAGUCACAAGCCACAUAUAUCUGACAAAGGACAUGUAUCCAGAACAUGUUUUGAAAACUUCCUACAAGUCAAUAUAAAAGACAAAUGAUGGCAUUGUGAAAAGGGCAAAAGAUUUAAACAGGCUCUUUAUAAAGGAGGAUAUAAAAAGCAGAUAAUACCCAUAUGAAAAGCUCUCAACUUCCCUUCCUCUUCCUCCCACACCUUCUUCAGCCACAGGUAUCAGGUAAGUGUGCAUGGAGGGGAGUAGGGGGAUAGAAUCACUCACUCAUUGUAUUAGGGUUUCCAAAGAAAUGGAACACAUAGUGUGUGUGUGUGUGUGUGUUUAGAGAGAAAGAGAUUAAGGAAUUGGCUCUUGUGACUGUGGAGGUUUGGGAGUCUAUGAUCUGCAGGGAAGGCUGGCAGACUGGAGCCCCCGAGAAGAGCUGAUGUUGUAGCUCAGGUCUGAAGGCCGUCUGGAGGCGGAAUCUGCUCUUUCUCAGGGGAGGUCAGUCUUUUUUCUCUUAGGGCCGAGAUCGGAAGAGCA